RNAcentral lists this ribosomal RNA (301 nucleotides) under uncultured bacterium. RNAcentral describes it as "partial 16S ribosomal RNA". It matches the Rfam family "Bacterial small subunit ribosomal RNA", at positions 509 to 807 of the family's 1533-position model. The record is from RNAcentral.
CAGUAGCCGCGGUAAAACGUAGGUGGCAAGCGUUGUCCGGAAUUAUUGGGCGUAAAGGGCUCGCAGGCGGUUUCUUAAGUCUGAUGUGAAAGCCCCCGGCUCAACCGGGGAGGGUCAUUGGAAACUGGGAAACUUGAGUGCAGAAGAGGAGAGUGGAAUUCCACGUGUAGCGGUGAAAUGCGUAGAGAUGUGGAGGAACACCAGUGGGGAAGGCGACUCUCUGGUCUGUAACUGACGCUGAGGAGCGAAAGCGUGGGGAGCGAACAGGAUUAGAUACCCCAGUAGUCCCUGUCUCUUAUAC